This 699-nucleotide ribosomal RNA is filed under the name uncultured Alphaproteobacteria bacterium. RNAcentral's name for it is "bacterial SSU rRNA". It matches the Rfam family "Bacterial small subunit ribosomal RNA", at positions 28 to 773 of the family's 1533-position model. The record is from RNAcentral. Lineage: Bacteria; Pseudomonadati; Pseudomonadota; Alphaproteobacteria.
AACGAACGCUGGCGGCAGGCCUAAUACAUGCAAGUCGAACGAGAUCUUCGGAUCUAGUGGCGCACGGGUGCGUAACGCGUGGGAAUCUGCCCUUGGGUUCGGAAUAACAUCUGGAAACGGAUGCUAAUACCGGAUGAUGACGUAAGUCCAAAGAUUUAUCGCCCAAGGAUGAGCCCGCGUAGGAUUAGCUAGUUGGUGAGGUAAAGGCUCACCAAGGCUACGAUCCUUAGCUGGUCUGAGAGGAUGAUCAGCCACACUGGGACUGAGACACGGCCCAGACUCCUACGGGAGGCAGCAGUAGGGAAUAUUGGACAAUGGGGGCAACCCUGAUCCAGCAAUGCCGCGUGAGUGAUGAAGGCCUUAGGGUUGUAAAGCUCUUUUACCCGAGAUGAUAAUGACAGUAUCGGGAGAAUAAGCUCCGGCUAACUCCGUGCCAGCAGCCGCGGUAAUACGGAGGGAGCUAGCGUUGUUCGGAAUUACUGGGCGUAAAGCGCACGUAGGCGGUUAUUUAAGUCAGAGGUGAAAGCCCGGGGCUCAACCCCGGAACUGCCUUUGAGACUGGAUAACUUGAAUCCAGGAGAGGUGAGUGGAAUUCCGAGUGUAGAGGUGAAAUUCGUAGAUAUUCGGAAGAACACCAGUGGCGAAGGCGGCUCACUGGACUGGUAUUGACGCUGAGGUGCGAAAGCGUGGGGAGCAAAC